ACGGGGGAAUAACCCCAAUCAUGACCCUUCAACCUCGUUUUAUCCAUCCAGUAAUCUCGAAGUGGUAAACCCUCUCUAGAACGCAAAACCACAACAAACAAAUCUAACCUCAGGACUUCGUAGAUCAAAAAGAGAGAUAACAGCAAGCUCAGCACCAAUGCGUCUUGUGCUGGCCACUCCAAGGAAAUUUGCCGCAAACGAAAUGCUGUUACACUUUUAAGCAUCACGUUUCGACUGUGGGAAUUUUUGAAAGGUGAAGUGAUGGGUAUAUAACAUGAAAGAACAGGUGCAGACUGUCAAACUACAGUUCUGAUUCUCUGCUCUUCUCUUCGCCGUUAAUUACGACUCUAAACAAUAAAACCGAAAAGAUGCGCGCUGUGAUUUUGGUAACGGUUGGUCUGCUGGCGCUGAUUGGACACCUGGAUGGACGCGCUCAUGGCGAGAAACGACGCGACAGACCAACCUGUCUCCAACGGACGGUCUCUCCCAGACUGAUCAAGGAAUUACUCAACAAAACACAAACUCUCACUAACUCUUUACCAACGUUCCCCAGAAAAAUAUAUGAAAGACUUCUGCCCAAAAUCUGUACAACGUGUGCUAAGAAACAACUUGGCAUCUGGGAAAUCAACAAGAUAUUGGAUGUCUAUUCCAACGUGUUCAACCAGAAAUCUUUGGAAGGUCUCUACCCCAAACACUUUGAGGAUCUUCUAGCAA
Non-coding RNA from Oncorhynchus mykiss (rainbow trout), 714 nucleotides. Lineage: Eukaryota; Metazoa; Chordata; Actinopteri; Salmoniformes; Salmonidae. The record is from RefSeq and is a predicted model, not a curated record.